GACGAACGCUGGCGGCGUGCCUAACACAUGCAAGUCGAACGGAGUGUUUAUUUAUAAACACUUAGUGGCGAACGGGUGAGUAACGCGUAGACAACCUACCCUCUAGAUGGGGACAACACCGCGAAAGUGGUGCUAAUACCGAAUGUUGUAAUGUUGUUGCAUAAUGAUAUUACUAAAGGUGGCCUCUAUAUAAAAGCUACCGCUAGAAGAUGGGUCUGCGUCUGAUUAGCUAGUUGGUGAGAUAACAGCUCACCAAGGCAAUGAUCAGUAGCCGGGCUUAGAGGAUGAACGGCCACACUGGGACUGAGACACGGCCCAGACUCCUACGGGAGGCAGCAGUGGGGAAUCUUCCGCAAUGGACGAAAGUCUGACGGAGCAACGCCGCGUGAGUGAAGAAGGUUUUCGGAUCGUAAAGCUCUGUCUUCAAGGACGAAUGUAGAUAUUGUGAAUAAUGAUAUUUAAUGACGGUACUUGAGGAGGAAGCCACGGCUAACUACGUGCCAGCCGCCGCAGUAA
This 516-nucleotide ribosomal RNA is filed under the name uncultured bacterium. RNAcentral's name for it is "partial 16S ribosomal RNA". It matches the Rfam family "Bacterial small subunit ribosomal RNA", at positions 28 to 523 of the family's 1533-position model. The record is from RNAcentral.